CCUACGGGUGGCUGCAGUGGGGAAUAUUGGACAAUGGGCGAAAGCCUGAUCCAGCCAUGCCGCGUGUGUGAAGAAGGCCUUCGGGUUGUAAGGCACUUUCAGUGGGGAAGAAAGCCUUGGGGCUAAUACCCUCGAGGAAGGACAUCACCCACAGAAGAAGCACCGGCUAACUCCGUGCCAGCAGCCGCGGUAAUACGGAGGGUGCGAGCGUUAAUCGGAAUUACUGGGCGUAAAGCGCGCGUAGGCGGUCUGAUAAGCCGGUUGUGAAAGCCCCGGGCUCAACCUGGGAACGGCAUCCGGAACUGUCAGGCUAGAGUGCAGGAGAGGAAGGUAGAAUUCCCGGUGUAGCGGUGAAAUGCGUAGAGAUCGGGAGGAAUACCAGUGGCGAAGGCGGCCUUCUGGACUGACACUGACGCUGAGGUGCGAAAGCGUGGGUAGCAAACAGGAUUAGAUACCCCGGUAGUC
This 465-nucleotide ribosomal RNA is filed under the name Vreelandella stevensii. Its description in RNAcentral is "partial 16S ribosomal RNA". It matches the Rfam family "Bacterial small subunit ribosomal RNA", at positions 338 to 795 of the family's 1533-position model. Lineage: Bacteria; Pseudomonadati; Pseudomonadota; Gammaproteobacteria; Oceanospirillales; Halomonadaceae. The record is from RNAcentral.